UUAUGGCUCAGAUUGAACGCUGGCGGCGUGCCUAACACAUGCAAGUCGUGCGUGAAAGGGCUUCGGCCUGAGUAAAGCGGCGCACGGGUGAGUAACGCGUGGAUGAUCUGCCCAUGAGUUGGGAAUAACGGCUGGAAACGGUCGCUAAUACCGAAUACGCUCCGAUUUCAAACUUCGGGGGAAAGGUGGCCUCUGCUUGCAAGCUACCGCUCAUGGAUGAGUCCGCGUCCCAUUAGCUUGUUGGCGGGGUAAUGGCCCACCAAGGCGACGAUGGGUAGCCGACCUGAGAGGGUGAUCGGCCACACUGGGACUGGAACACGGCCCAGACUCCUACGGGAGGCAGCAGUGGGGAAUAUUGCGCAAUGGGCGAAAGCCUGACGCAGCGACGCCGCGUGAGGGAUGAAGGCCUUCGGGUCGUAAACCUCUGUCAGGAGGGAAGAACCGCUCAGGUGCUAAUCAGCCUGGGUCUGGCGGUACCUCCAAAGGGAGCACCGGCUAACUCCGUGCCAGCAGCCGC
This 517-nucleotide ribosomal RNA is filed under the name uncultured bacterium. Its description in RNAcentral is "bacterial SSU rRNA". It matches the Rfam family "Bacterial small subunit ribosomal RNA", at positions 17 to 518 of the family's 1533-position model. The record is from RNAcentral.